This 332-nucleotide ribosomal RNA is filed under the name uncultured eukaryote. Its description in RNAcentral is "partial 18S ribosomal RNA". It matches the Rfam family "Eukaryotic small subunit ribosomal RNA", at positions 1470 to 1796 of the family's 1831-position model. The record is from RNAcentral.
CCCUUAGAUGUUCUGGGCCGCACGCGCGCUACACUGAUGCAUUCAACGAGUUAUUCUUUGACCUUGGUCGAGAGAUCUGGGUAAUCUUUUGAAAUUGCAUCGUGAUGGGGCUUACGGGUUGCAAUUACCCGUACCAACGAGGAAUUCCUAGUAAACGCAAGUCAUCAGCUUGCAUUGAUUACGUCCCUGCCCUUUGUACACACCGCCCGUCGCUCCUACCGAUUGAGCGGUCCGGUGAAGACUCAAGAGAUUCGUACAUCCUCGGUUUCCGAGAGUGUCGCGAGUCGAAUUUGUCUAAACCUUAUCGCUUAGAGGAAGGAGAANUCGUANCA